UACGAAGGAUUCGAGCGUUAUCCGGAUUUAUUGGGUUUAAAGGGUGCGUAGGUGGACUAAUAAGUCAGUGGUGAAAGCCCGCAGCUUAACUGCGGAACUGCCAUUGAUACUGUUAGUCUUGAGUACAGUUGAGGUGGGCGGAAUGUGUCAUGUAGCGGUGAAAUGCUUAGAUAUGACACAGAACACCGAUUGCGAAGGCAGCUCACUAAGCUGUAACUGACACUGAGGCACGAAAGCGUGGGGAGCAAACAGGAUUAGAAACCCCCGUAGUCC
RNAcentral lists this ribosomal RNA (273 nucleotides) under uncultured bacterium. Its description in RNAcentral is "partial 16S ribosomal RNA". It matches the Rfam family "Bacterial small subunit ribosomal RNA", at positions 524 to 796 of the family's 1533-position model. The record is from RNAcentral.